GUGAUUUACAGUUUAUUUUCCAUACUUGAGAAAAUUUGUUGCAAAGAAGAUUAACAUGGCUCCUGAACAAGGAUGACACGUACAAAUCAAGAAAUGGUCCAAAUAGAA
Molecule: small nuclear RNA, 108 nt
Organism: Lycium ferocissimum
Lineage: Eukaryota; Viridiplantae; Streptophyta; Magnoliopsida; Solanales; Solanaceae
Source: RefSeq, a predicted model, not a curated record